RNAcentral lists this ribosomal RNA (253 nucleotides) under uncultured bacterium. Its description in RNAcentral is "partial 16S ribosomal RNA". It matches the Rfam family "Bacterial small subunit ribosomal RNA", at positions 524 to 776 of the family's 1533-position model. The record is from RNAcentral.
UACAGAGGGUGCGAGCGUUAAUCGGAAUUACUGGGCGUAAAGCGCACGUAGGCGGCUUGGUAUGUCGGGUGUGAAAUCCCCGGGCUCAACCUGGGAACUGCAUCUGUGACUGCAUUGCUGGAGUGCGGCAGAGGGGGAUGGAAUUCCGCGUGUAGCAGUGAAAUGCGUAGAUAUGCGGAGGAACACCGAUGGCGAAGGCAAUCCCCUGGGCCUGCACUGACGCUCAUGCACGAAAGCGUGGGGAGCAAACAGG